This 468-nucleotide ribosomal RNA is filed under the name uncultured bacterium. RNAcentral describes it as "partial 16S ribosomal RNA". It matches the Rfam family "Bacterial small subunit ribosomal RNA", at positions 28 to 507 of the family's 1533-position model. The record is from RNAcentral.
GACGAACGCUGGCGGCGUGCUUAACACAUGCAAGUCGAGCGGAAAGGCCCUGCGUGUGUGGGGUGCACGAGAGGCGAACGGGUGAGUAACCCGUGGGUAACGUGACCUUGACGGUGGGAGAACUUCAGGAGACGGGGGCUGAUACCGAAUAGGAGCUCCAGCUGCAGGGUGGGGGUUGGAAAGUUUCGGCGGGUGGGGAGGGACUCGCGUCUUAUCAGGUUGUGGGUGGGGUAGUGGCUUACGAGGGCUUUGACGGGUAGCCGGCCUGGGAGGGUGACCGGCCACAUUGGGACUGAGCUGCGGCCCAGACCCCUCCGCGACGCAGCAGUGCGGAAUAUUGCACAACGGGCGGAAGCCUGAUGCAGCAACGCCGCGUGCGGGAUGACGGCCUUCGGGUUGUAACCCGCUUUCGCCUGUGACGAAGAGUGAGUGACGGUACUGUGGAAAGAAGCCCCGGCUAACUACGUG